Trichinella spiralis is the source of this 427-nucleotide non-coding RNA. The record is from Rfam. Lineage: Eukaryota; Metazoa; Nematoda; Enoplea; Trichinellida; Trichinellidae.
CGACCUCAGAUCAGACGAGAUUACCCGCUAAAUUUAAGCAUAUCAAUAAGCGGUGGAAAAGAAACGAAAACGAAUUCUCCAAGUAGCGGCGAGCGAAACGAGAAAAGUCCAUACACCGAAGUCGGCGAGCAGUUGUGUUCGUCAACAGUGUGGUGUUAAAGGUGUCGUUGCAUGUGCUGAAAUCAGUUCGUAGGCUCCCUUGAUUGGGGCUUCAGAGCGGGUGCAGGACCCAUAACGAACGAUGUUUUGUGCAUGGUGUCGCGGCUCCUAAUCGAGUCGGGUUGCUUGAGACUGCAGCCCAAAGCGGGUGGUAAAUCUCACCCAAGACUAAAUAUUUCGUACGAGACCGAUAGCGAACACGUACCGCGAGGGAAGUUGAUAAGAACUCUGAAGAGAGAGUUCACCAGGACGUGAAACCGUUGACAGG